RNAcentral lists this non-coding RNA (18 nucleotides) under Arabidopsis thaliana (thale cress). Lineage: Eukaryota; Viridiplantae; Streptophyta; Magnoliopsida; Brassicales; Brassicaceae. The record is from RNAcentral.
CGGACUGCUCGAGCUGCU